Molecule: RNA transcript, 1901 nt
Organism: Serinus canaria (Common canary)
Lineage: Eukaryota; Metazoa; Chordata; Aves; Passeriformes; Fringillidae
Gene: EEF2KMT
Gene name: eukaryotic elongation factor 2 lysine methyltransferase
Exons: 9
Source: RefSeq, a predicted model, not a curated record
GUGCGUUCCCUCCCAUCCCGAUGUGUUUUCCCGGUCCCGAUGCUUCCCCACUCCCUCCGUUCCGCUCGGGCAGCAGGACCGUGGCGCCCCCUUGCGGCCUGGCCAGCUCUGUGGGGAGCCGCGGCCGAGUCCGGGCAUCGCGGGUUCGAUCCCCGCUCGGGUGUUCCGCGCUCCGGGCCCCGUGGGGCGGUGCCGCUCCGCCCUCCGGGCGGCUCCUGCUCCUCACCCGCGGCCUGCCCGGCCGAGCUCUGCCGGGCCAUGGCCGAGCCGCGCCCGGGACUGCCCCUGCGCUUCCAGCGCCGUUUCCUGGCGGCGCGGCCGCUCCGCUCGCUGCCCUGGCCGGAACUCGAACAAAGCCUGCGGACUGCGCCGGACUCCGCACUGCUGGCGGAUAUUCUGCACAAGACAAUUCUUCACCCUCUGUGUGUGAAAUAUCCUCCUUCAGCCAAGUACAGGAGGUGCUUCCUGACUGAGCUCAUAAAAAAGCUUGAAUCCACAGCAGCUGAACCCCUGGAUGAACUCUAUGAGACACUGGCAGAUGUUCUAAAAGAAGAAGAAGAAUCUACUCACUGUUACAAAAACUACUUACUGGUGCUCCUAUUGAUUGUAAACUCUCAGUCACUGGCCUGUGCUGAUGGAUCUUUGCCUCCCUGUGUCCCACAGCCCUCAGGCGACUGUGUGAGCCUCUGCGAGAGCACAGCGCUGAUCUCCGGUGGCACCACGGGGCUCCUCACGUGGGAGGCUGCCUUGCACCUGGCCCAGUGGGCCCUGCAGAACCCCAGCCUCUUCAGGGGCAGGACAGUCCUGGAACUGGGGAGUGGGAUUGGCUUCACUGGAAUUGCCAUCUGCAAGAGCUGCCAGCCCAGGACAUUCAUAUUCAGUGACUGCCACCCCCGUGUUCUCAGACAGCUGGGGGAAAACCUCCAGCUGAAUGGCCUCACCCCAGAGGGGGUGACCUGCAGCAUCCAAACAGAGUCCCAAGGACAGGAGCUGGAAGGGCAGAACUGCCAAACCCCAAAAGUGGUUGUUGCUGAGCUUGACUGGGGCUCAGUGACAGAAAAACAACUGCUGGCUCUCAGAGCUGACAUUGUCAUUGCAGCAGAUGUGGUUUAUGAUCCUGAGAUAAUUUUAGCCCUCAUUGGGAUGCUACAGAAACUCUCCACCUCCAGGGCAGACAGGAAAGCUCCUGAGGUGUUCAUUGCCUCCACAAUCCGAAAUCCAGACACGUAUCAGCUGUUCCAGGCUGAGCUGGAUAAAGCUGGGAUCAGGUGGCAGGUGAUCCCAGCCCACAGCAGCUGUUAUUUUCUCUAUGAUGAGCAGCCAGAUGUAACUAUUCUACAGCUAUUUAUAUAGGCUUGGCAGACAGAACUGGAAUUUUGAAACCAACAGGAGCUUGUCUCAGCGCCUUGUAACAAGAUUAUCCUGAAUUCUGGAAAGGAGGUUCUGAGGAUACAGCUGGACACACGGAGUCCUUCCUCUUAAUUGCCAGCAUGAAUCCAAGCCUGCAGCUGCCCCUGGGAAGUGACUGAACCUCAAGCAACAGAAACCAAAAAGCUUUAAUCACACUUGACUUGAUUCUGUAGAAGACAGCGGAAUUCAAGCAGGGUUUUUUUCCAACUGUGUUGUGAUUUGACUGCCACUUCCACAGUGGCUGCUGGCAAUCCAGGCAGGGCUGGCAAUGAAAAAGGAAUCACUCUCCAUAGCAGUGUUCCAGGUAUCCUGCAAGGAGGAAGGACUGAGCUCUGAAACUUCCCAUCAUCCAUUAAUCCCUCUCCUGUUGGGCAGCAUUGGUCCUGAAGCACAAAACUCCAAGUGAUGCUCAUACUUCUCUUUUAGCUUCCUUUUCUCUAUUAAAAACUACUUAAAAUGAAAUAAAAAAACUUCAACCUCCUCCUCCUGUA